Molecule: ribosomal RNA, 245 nt
Filed under: uncultured Bacillota bacterium
Lineage: Bacteria; Bacillati; Bacillota
Description: uncultured Firmicutes bacterium partial 16S ribosomal RNA
Rfam family: Bacterial small subunit ribosomal RNA
Source: RNAcentral
UACGUAGGGAGCGAGCGUUAUCCGGAUUUAUUGGGUGUAAAGGGUGCGUAGGCGGUUUAUUAAGUCUAAGGUUUAAGUCUGAAGCUUAACUUCAGUUCGCCUUAGAAACUGAUUGGCUAGAGUAUGGUAGAGGCAAGUGGAAUUUCUAGUGUAGCGGUAAAAUGCGUAGAUAUUAGAAGGAACACCAGUGGCGAAGGCGACUUGCUGGGCCAUCACUGACGCUGAGGCACGAAAGCGUGGGGAGC